This 21-nucleotide non-coding RNA is filed under the name Arabidopsis thaliana (thale cress). The record is from RNAcentral. Lineage: Eukaryota; Viridiplantae; Streptophyta; Magnoliopsida; Brassicales; Brassicaceae.
AAUGAUGCGCAAAUGCGGAUA